AAACACAGACUGAUGGUGGCUGAAUGCCCUUCUCCAAAAGCCUCCCCUCACCUCUUCCCCUCAGUGGUUCGCUUCACUUUGGACAUGGAAUUUCUAACCUAACAAAGGAUCUAGCGAACAUUUGACUGGAAGGAAGGAAACUGCAGCUGACCCGUAUUCUCACCCUCACAAUUUGCCAAGCUGCUGAAAGGAUGUGGUGAAACAUCAGCUUUUUCUCUUAAAAAAAAGAGAUCCCUAGACCUGAAAGAUUAUGAAAGCUGAACCAAAGGGUCUGAGGGCAAAACCCAAUUUACGUACAAGAUACAGCAGUACUGCUGAAAGGAAAGUUCCCUGGCAGUGACACACCAGAGAGUCUUGUUAGGUGCUGUCCUGGCAGAGGUUCCCCUAAAUCUCUUUGGUCCCUACUACUCCUUUCCCUCAGGGGUUUGAGAGCAUGCAGAGCUGACUGCCAGACACACAAAGCCAAAAGGAUUUUUCUUCACCCCAGGACUUCAACAACCCCGGCCAGCAUUAACCUAUCCAGGAGCUUUAGGCUCAUUUGAGGAAAUAAGUGCUGAUGCUUGUGAUAGGAGCCAAAGCCCCACCUGGAAAACUGAUUUUCAGAAUGUAAAAGUGGGGGCUGGUAGUUUCCUGUUUAAGGUCUGGGCAAUAAGUGACAUAACCUUGUGUUAUGUUGUUACCACUGCUUCCAAUGUGUGAUGAAGUAAUUUAAAUGUUUGUUUUCUAAAUGGCUAAGAGAUGUCUCAAGAUAAAAGCCUAAAAAUCAUGAAGGUAAAUACAUUUUAGUAUUAGAAGGACACAAGAUAUUUGCUGCAUUGCAAACCUUUAUCAGGUUUCAGCACCCCUUUUCAAAUAGCUAACAGGAGCUGUUGUUUCAACAAUUCUGCAUAGUGGAUGUUAAACACAGAAGCCUAACAACCAUGCUCAUUUACAGUUUUUCCAUCAAGGAAGUGAUGUGAUUAGCUUUAAUUUAUGAUACUUCACUUGUAAAGCAAGAGAAACAAGCACAUUAAUUGCUAUUUACCUUUAACAGAUAAGCAGUUGGAUUAGAUCACAUAGAAAAUUAGUCCAUUUUAAUAUAAGUUUUUUCAGGCUAAAAAGUUUCUAGCCUGUUUUUCUCGGUAGUAUGAGCCUGAACAAAAGCUUCCUGCUAUGGUCCAAAGAAAAGGAAA
This is a non-coding RNA of Zonotrichia albicollis (white-throated sparrow), 1172 nucleotides long. The record is from RefSeq and is a predicted model, not a curated record. Lineage: Eukaryota; Metazoa; Chordata; Aves; Passeriformes; Passerellidae.